This 254-nucleotide ribosomal RNA is filed under the name uncultured bacterium. RNAcentral's name for it is "partial 16S ribosomal RNA". It matches the Rfam family "Bacterial small subunit ribosomal RNA", at positions 524 to 776 of the family's 1533-position model. The record is from RNAcentral.
UACGAAGGGGGCUAGCGUUGCUCGGAAUCACUGGGCGUAAAGGGCGCGUAGGCGGCCAGCACAAGUCAGUUGUGAAAUCUCCGAGCUUAACUCGGAACGGUCAACUGAUACUGUGCGGCUAGAGUGCGGAAGGGGCAACUGGAAUUCUUGGUGUAGCGGUGAAAUGCGUAGAUAUCAAGAGGAACACCUGCGGCGAAGGCGGGUUGCUGGGCCGACACUGACGCUGAUGCGCGAAAGCCAGGGGAGCGAACGGG